RNAcentral lists this long non-coding RNA (411 nucleotides) under Anas platyrhynchos platyrhynchos (common mallard). RNAcentral describes it as "lncRNA (ENSAPLG00000024990.1)". The record is from RNAcentral. Lineage: Eukaryota; Metazoa; Chordata; Aves; Anseriformes; Anatidae.
GCUAACAGUUUAAGCAAGCAGUGCACUGCACUGCACUUUCUGGGAUCAUGCUCUUUCCUUAUAUAAUGUACAAAUAUAAAUAUAGAGGAUGACACUCACUAACUAGAAAGUUGCAAAAGCUGGAGUUGAUGGAAAAUGUCAUGUAAUUCCAUAGUAUGGGAUUCAUGUGCAGCUGGGCCAAAACACUUACCGAGCAGACUUCUCCAAGAUGAGUCUACCAGUUGUGUUCAUCUGAACAGUUGCUGGCUUCUGGCUGCCUUGGACAGGUCAUUUGAAAAUCUCAGAGGAAAUUUAACAGGCUCUACCCAUACACCUUACCAAAAGGAAUCCCCUAUAUACACUGUAUGCACACGUGCAACCGUGGACUGUGUGGGAAUAUAUGAGCAACCUGCUCGGGGUUUCCCUGCUUGA